This 250-nucleotide ribosomal RNA is filed under the name uncultured prokaryote. Its description in RNAcentral is "partial 16S ribosomal RNA". It matches the Rfam family "Bacterial small subunit ribosomal RNA", at positions 524 to 773 of the family's 1533-position model. The record is from RNAcentral.
UACGGAGGGGGCUAGCGUUGUUCGGAAUUACUGGGCGUAAAGCGCACGUAGGCGGCUUUGUAAGUUAGAGGUGAAAGCCUGGAGCUCAACUCCAGAAUUGCCUUUAAGACUGCAGAGCUAGCAGGUGAGAGAGGUAAGUGGAAUUCCGAGUGUAGAGGUGAAAUUCGUAGAUAUUCGGAAGAACACCAGUGGCGAAGGCGGCUUACUGGCUCAUACUGGACGCUGAGGUGCGAAAGCGUGGGGAGCAAAC